UACGUAGGGUGCAGGUGUUAAUCGGAAUUACUGGGCGUAAAGCGUGCGCAGGCGGUCUUUUAAGUCAGAUGUGAAAUCCCCGGGCUUAACCUGGGAACUGCGUUUGAAACUGGAAGGCUUGAGUGUGGCAGAGGGGGGUGGAAUUCCACGUGUAGCAGUGAAAUGCGUAGAGAUGUGGAGGAACACCGAUGGCGAAGGCAGCCCCCUGGGCUAACACUGACGCUCAUGCACGAAAGCGUGGGGAGCAAACAGG
RNAcentral lists this ribosomal RNA (253 nucleotides) under uncultured bacterium. RNAcentral's name for it is "partial 16S ribosomal RNA". It matches the Rfam family "Bacterial small subunit ribosomal RNA", at positions 524 to 776 of the family's 1533-position model. The record is from RNAcentral.